RNAcentral lists this ribosomal RNA (523 nucleotides) under uncultured Glomus. Its description in RNAcentral is "SSU rRNA". It matches the Rfam family "Eukaryotic small subunit ribosomal RNA", at positions 561 to 1085 of the family's 1831-position model. The record is from RNAcentral. Lineage: Eukaryota; Fungi; Glomeromycota; Glomeromycetes; Glomerales; Glomeraceae.
CUGGUGCCAGCAGCCGCGGUAAUUCCAGCUCCAAUAGCGUAUAUUAAAGUUGUUGCAGUUAAAAAGCUCGUAGUUGAAUUUCGGGGUUAGUAGAUUGGUCGUGCCGCUGGUAUGUACUGGUCUUACUGAUUCCUCCUUCCUGAUGAACCGUAAUGCCAUUGAUUUGGUGUUGCGGGGAGACUGGACUGUUACUUUGAAAAAAUUAGAGUGUUUAAAGCAGGCUAACGCUUGAAUACAUUAGCAUGGAAUAAUGAAAUAGGACGUUCGAUCCUAUUUUGUUGGUUUCUAGGAUUGACGUAAUGAUUAAUAGGGAUAGUUGGGGGCAUUAGUAUUCAAUUGUCAGAGGUGAAAUUCUUGGAUUUAUUGAAGACUAACUACUGCGAAAGCAUUUGCCAAGGAUGUUUCCAUUAAUCAAGAACGAAAGUUAGGGGAUCGAAGACGAUCAGAUACCGUCGUAGUCCUAACCAUAAACUAUGCCGACUAGGGAUCGGAUGAUGUUAAUUUUUUAAUGACUCAUUCGGCG